AUUACCCUGGGGCGUUUGUGAUUGCCCGGAGUGUUAUUGAGCCAAUGCUCUGAUUAAGGGCGACGACUCCAGCGUGCUGGUGUGCAUGCCCGGCGCAGCCGGGAAGCCUGAAGGCACGCGAGACAUGCCCACCUGGACAUACCAGGUUCAAAACAAACUGGUAACACGGCUUCCCGGGGACCCA
This 184-nucleotide non-coding RNA is filed under the name Pseudodesulfovibrio piezophilus C1TLV30. Its description in RNAcentral is "Desulfovibrio piezophilus C1TLV30 6S / SsrS RNA". It matches the Rfam family "6S / SsrS RNA". Rfam says of the family: E. coli 6S RNA was the first non coding RNA to be sequenced, but its function was unknown until recently. It consists of 184 nucleotides that fold into an extended hairpin structure with a large single-stranded internal bulge. The record is from Rfam by way of RNAcentral. Lineage: Bacteria; Pseudomonadati; Thermodesulfobacteriota; Desulfovibrionia; Desulfovibrionales; Desulfovibrionaceae.